Long non-coding RNA from Telopea speciosissima, 157 nucleotides. RefSeq lists it as uncharacterized. The record is from RefSeq and is a predicted model, not a curated record. Lineage: Eukaryota; Viridiplantae; Streptophyta; Magnoliopsida; Proteales; Proteaceae. The transcript is spliced from 2 exons.
CCCCCAUAUAGCAUGAAAGAUCUAUGGAGGCUGGCAUCAAAACAACAUAUAAGGGGAAUUAAAAAAAACAAAAAAAAGUCAUUAAGUUCUCAACUCUCUGAUUUGUGUUCCUCAAGUAGCACGUUCAGAAAGCCUGAUAAAGUAGAUCCAACCUAAC